ACGUGGUGGCUCUGAUCUGGAAGGCCAUCCAGCAGAGAGGGGACUUUGAUAUUGACAUUGUGGCUGUGGUGAAUG
Molecule: long non-coding RNA, 75 nt
Filed under: Ictidomys tridecemlineatus (thirteen-lined ground squirrel)
Lineage: Eukaryota; Metazoa; Chordata; Mammalia; Rodentia; Sciuridae
Description: lncRNA (ENSSTOG00000029969.1)
Source: RNAcentral